Maylandia zebra (zebra mbuna) is the source of this 349-nucleotide non-coding RNA. The record is from RefSeq and is a predicted model, not a curated record. Lineage: Eukaryota; Metazoa; Chordata; Actinopteri; Cichliformes; Cichlidae.
CGGAGCAGCGUCUGCAGCAUCCAGCUGUGUGUCUGUGAGGAGUGACUGGUCCAAAGAAAGACCUCCAAACUUCAGUCAUGGAGCUCAGCUGACCAUGGGUCAGAGGUCACAGUCUCCAGCAUCCAGCUGUGUGUCUGUGAGGAGUGACUGGUCCAAAGAAAGACCUCCACACUUCAGUCAUGAACCUGCAGCAACAAUGGGUCAGAGGUCACAGUCUCCAGCAUCCAGCUGUGUGUCUGUGAGGAGUGACUGGUCCAAAGAAAGACCUCCAAACUUCAGUCAAGGAGCUCAGCUGACCAUGUAAGAGAGCUGCUGACUGUAAUUCUACCAGUGACAUCAUAGUUUAUUC